Molecule: long non-coding RNA, 2086 nt
Organism: Quercus robur (English oak)
Lineage: Eukaryota; Viridiplantae; Streptophyta; Magnoliopsida; Fagales; Fagaceae
Exons: 2
Source: RefSeq, a predicted model, not a curated record
CUGAAUGCAAGAAAGUUGAAAAGGUAAGUUAUCCUUUCUUUCCUGGCAAUAUACGUAUAUCACCCAAGAUAUUUUGCUGGACUUCUUGGCUGCACCAGAAAUACCCUUGGUCAUUCUUGCUUUACUUCUUUGUUUUCUUCCUUCUUUGUUCUUAUUGGUUGCACCUUUAUCUCUUCUUUGACUUUCUCAAGCUCUAGGACACCCCAUAAACUCUCUUGCUCUCAUUUUAUCUACGUAUACACAUACAAAUCAGAAAUUUCAGCUCACUUGCUCUCUUUUUCUCCCAAGGAAAGAGCUAGGAAGCUCUCUUAGGUCCACUUAGUCAAGUCCAUGGGUCAACAAAUUAAAAGAGAGAUAAGGCUUCAUCAUCUUUUCUUCUUUCUACUCUUUUAGAAGCAACUAGAAUAGUUAAGAGCUCUCUCCCUCUUUCAUUCCUACGGUUCCAACACCAAAAGAAGGAAAAGCUCUCAAUUAUUUUCUCCCUUUCACACCUACAUGUCCAGCAGCAAGAAGGAAGCUUCUUCAACUCUCUUAAGCUCUCUACCUCUCAUACUUUCUGGUCCAGCCACUAGGGAAGGUGUUACCAGUAUCCAAGUUUAAGCUCCGUUGAUUGUAGGCUCUUGGUUCCUCUGCUUUCAGGUAAGGGAUAAGUAUAUGGACAUUUGGUAAGUCAUGAGGUUAUUUUAAAGUAUAUUAUGCAUUAAAAUGUUUUUGAUUAGAGAUAUGACAUGUAAUCAUUAUUCUGACAAAGACAUGUUCAUGAGCUUUCAAAAAACUUAUAUAUAUGAUUUAAGCAUAUUGAUGCUAUUAUUGAUUUCACGAACAUUAUGUUUAAAGAAAAGAAUGGAAAUGCUAUUAUUAUGAAAUGUUAUGCAAAAUUUCAGUAAGAUGUAAAGUAUGAAAUAUUUUCAGGUUAUGUCCUCUGGUAAUCUGAACUCGGCUAGUAGGGGUUAAUUACUGGCUUUCCAUGGAAAAAUGUUAUAUGUUUGGCCAUUUAAAGUAGAGGAAAUGGGGCUGCCCGUAACUCUAGGCCAUUUAAAGUAGAGGAAAUGGGGUUGCCCGUAACUCUAAUCUGACUAAGGCCUUCUCCCCAAUGUGUACGGACGGCGGGGAGGAACAAAACCUGGAGGAGAUGUGCCAUCAGGCCUCCCAAAGGGGACAAUAUCAUACACACGGGGGCACCCAAAUGUGAUGAGGCCUUCUCUGUACAGACUUAUUAGAUAUGGACUAACCAAUAUGAUAUGAACAGCUAUGUUAUGUUAUUAAUCAUAAGAGAAUUAUUUUGUUUAAAUGCAUUAUGAAAAGUUAAAAGUUCUCAUGAAAAUAAGAAGUUUCUGAUGAAAAGAAAGCUGUUCAUUAAAGAUAAAAGUUUCUGAAGUUCUGUUGUACUAUAAUGAUAAAACUUCUGAUGAAAAUACAAGUUUACGUUUAAAAGUUAUCAGAUAUCUAUUUUUAUGAAAUGUUAAGUUUUAUGACCAUGAAAGACAUAUUAUUUUAUGAAAAGAAGUUUAUAAAGAAAAAUUUUCUUAUUAGUCAAGAUGUUUCUAGCUUAAUACAAAGUUGUCGAUUAUCUGAUUUAAGUUAAAUUAAUUAUUUUGUAAUGAGAAUAUAUAUAUGGCGACUUUGUAGGAAAUGAAAGAAGUUUAAUCCGAAAGGUUCGGUAAUAUUGACCUGAUAAGAAAAAGGAGAACAAUUAUUUUCUAUGAAGAGCGUAUAAGCUACUAUUAUAAAUAGUAUAAAAUACUAUGCAUGAAAAAAAUGUUCUCCUAUUCGAAUAUUCAUAGAAUGAAAUGAUUUGAUUUACAUGCAUCCUUAUUGAAUUCUCAUAUAUCUUACCUUUACUGAGCUGUGUAGCUCACUCCUUCCACUCUUUCAGUUAGCAAGUUUGAUUUUGGAGCAGAGGGAGCCUUAGUCGAGUUUUGGAAGGGGCUGGUUUAGUUUUAUAUGUAUAGAUCCUAAAUUAGCAAUAUGAUAUUUAGAUUUGUAGCAUUGUUCAUUUUAGGAUCUAAUAAAAGUGUAUACCUUAAAGAAUUAAGAGAUGUAUUAUGUGAAAGUGUGGAAAUUAAAUGAUUGGUGGAUUAUGUUA